GAUGAAGAACGUAGCGAAAUGCGAUAAGUAAUGCGAAUUGCAGAAUCCGUGAGUCAUCGAGUCUUUGAACGCACAUUGCGCCCCCUGGUAUUCCGGGGGGCAUGCCUGUCCGAGCGUCAUUGCUGCCCUCAAGCACGGCUUGUGUGUUGGGCCUCCGUCCUCCUCCCGGGGGACGGGCCCGAAAGGCAGCGGCGGCACCGCGUCCGGUCCUCGAGCGUAUGGGGCUUCGUCACCCGCUCUUGUAGGCCUGGCCGGCGCUUGCCGACACAUCAAUCUUUUUUCCAGGUUGACCUCGGAUCAGGUAGGGAUACCCGCUGAACUUAAGCAUAUCAAUAAGCGGAGGA
This 344-nucleotide unclassified non-coding RNA is filed under the name soil metagenome. Its description in RNAcentral is "partial contains 5.8S ribosomal RNA, internal transcribed spacer 2, and large subunit ribosomal RNA". The stretch from base 1 to 119 matches the Rfam family "5.8S ribosomal RNA", at positions 35 to 154 of the family's 154-position model. The record is from RNAcentral.